AGCCCCGUGGUGUUGAACACACCGGAUUGCAAAUCCGGAGAAGCGAGUUAAUGGCUAGCCGGGGCUU
RNAcentral lists this transfer RNA (67 nucleotides) under Plotosus lineatus (striped eel catfish). RNAcentral describes it as "tRNA-Cys". It matches the Rfam family "tRNA". Rfam says of the family: Transfer RNA (tRNA) molecules are approximately 80 nucleotides in length. Their secondary structure includes four short double-helical elements and three loops (D, anti-codon, and T loops). Lineage: Eukaryota; Metazoa; Chordata; Actinopteri; Siluriformes; Plotosidae. RNAcentral also lists the same sequence under 1 other name. The record is from RNAcentral.